CCUCCCUGCGGCCGGCUCCCAUGUUUCAUGCUUGGGCCCUAACAAGGAUUAAAUUCCAAAUCAACAAAAUCUCAGCAAGUUAGCAAGAUCAGUCAUGCAAAACGCUUUGCUUCUGAAACGCUCCUUGUGUGCUGAGUUAUAUUUUGAUCGGGACAUGUCUUUUAACUCCCAGAUAUAACAAACUUGACAAACAAACAACCACUGCAAAAACCGGGAUAUCCUAUCUUAAAGUUAUGUGGAAAAACUUUUUCCACAUUUGUAUUUACCAUAUCUACUCAUCUCUACAUAGCUGAGCUGUGUGAUAACAAACACUACCAUCUUCUAACACUUGCUUUACCCUUUGUUCUAUUGUAGCUACAAAAACUCAAGGCCAGAAAACAUUUAAUCUGGUUACAGUCGGUCUGACAUGGGACUAUGCCAAGGCUUACUGCAGAAAAUACUACACAGACCUGGCUAUGAUCGAGAAUGCUACGGAAAAUACAAAAGUGUCGUCAUUAAAGACAAUACUUAAUACUGUGUGGAUUGGCUUGUACCGAAUACCAUGGAGGUGGUCUGACAAGAGCAACAGCAACUUCAGAAACUGGGAAAGCGGACAGCCGGAUGGUGAACAAUACUGUGCAGCUGAGACGUCGGACCACUAUUGGGAUGAUGUGAGCUGUGAUAACAAGCUUUCAUUCUUCUGUUAUGGAGGUGAAAAAAAGUGAUAAAUUAAUGUGUUUGUUGGACUGUCCAGCCCUAAAAGUGAAGAUAACUGUGGUGAGGAUGAAGAUUUAGACUGAUGCUGAACUUUCAGAUCCAGCUACUAAUGCCCAAAUCCUUCAACAGCUAGGUGCAGGGCUGACGGACAAGACUUCACUGUGACUGACUUCAACCUGCGGUGGAAGAUUCAACCCAGAAAACAGUAAAAGAGAAAUGGAGAGAAUGAUGAAGCCAAUGGAAAAGAUGUCCUUUGUAAUUGAUGUUUUCAACAAGUUGCAAAGGCAGAAUGCAUGUAACAAUAAUUAAUGUAGCCAGAUUACUUUGUUAAUCAAAUCUAGUAGAUCAAAUAAUCUACCAUGAGAUGAACUGUAAAACAAAGAUUGUUCACUCACCUCUUGUGAAAAAUUACAUGCAGUAGGCUAUAUUGUGCAUUUUAAAAGUAACUAAACACCAGGCUGUAAAGCACUGUUUAACUACUCUCUAUGGUUGAAUGUUUCAGUGAAAACACGGAAGGUCAGCAAAGAUGUGAUUUUCAAGGGUUGUUAGUUACUCUUUAAACUAACAAACCUAAAAAAAGGUGAUGAUUUAAUGUUUUAUCUGAGGUGAGUAAUUAUGGUAUAGGUUCAAAGAAACACUCGCAGGUGUCUUGAUAUAUGAAAGGCAAAUGCCAUCCUUCACCUUUGGCUUGUCCAUUUUUAUAAAUUCAGGUGACCUCUUUCUGUAUCACUACUGAUUCUUUGGUGUUGAUUUAUUUUACUCUAGCAGGUAGGUCCACUGUAAGAUAUUUAAUUGUGGUAUUUUUGUGAGUUCUAAAUCUAGUAUUUGUCUAUGAUAGGUAGUCUACAGUACAACAAAAUGACAGACUUUAGCUGUAAUCCAUGGCUUUCUGUAAUUGUCUACUUAAUAAAGUUAAUGUACUGCA
This is a long non-coding RNA of Micropterus dolomieu (smallmouth bass), 1621 nucleotides long. RefSeq lists it as uncharacterized. The record is from RefSeq and is a predicted model, not a curated record. Lineage: Eukaryota; Metazoa; Chordata; Actinopteri; Centrarchiformes; Centrarchidae. The transcript has 2 exons.